UGGGGAAUUUUCCGCAAUGGGCGAAAGCCUGACGGAGCAAUACCGCGUGAGGGAGGAAGGCUUUUGGGUUGUAAACCUCUUUUCUCAAGGAAGAAGAUCUGACGGUACUUGAGGAAUCAGCAUCGGCUAACUCCGUGCCAGCAGCCGCGGUAAUACGGAGGGGGCAAGCGUUGUUCGGAUUUACUGGGCGUAAAGGGCGCGUAGGCGGGGUAUCCAGUUAGGGGUGAAAGCCCGGGGCUCAACCUCGGAACUGCCUUUAAAACUGAUACUCUAGAGUCCGGAAGAGGGUCGCGGAAUUCCCAGUGUAGAGGUGAAAUUCGUAGAUAUUGGGAAGAACACCGGUGGCGAAGGCGGCGACCUGGUCCGGUACUGACGCUGAGGCGCGAAAGCGUGGGGAGCAAACAGGAUUAGAUACCCCCGUAGUCC
Molecule: ribosomal RNA, 426 nt
Filed under: uncultured prokaryote
Description: bacterial SSU rRNA
Rfam family: Bacterial small subunit ribosomal RNA
Source: RNAcentral